Molecule: unclassified non-coding RNA, 241 nt
Filed under: plant metagenome
Description: partial contains small subunit ribosomal RNA, internal transcribed spacer 1, and 5.8S ribosomal RNA
Source: RNAcentral
UUUCCGUAGGUGAACCUGCGGAAGGAUCAUUAAAGAGUAAGGGUCUUCGGGCCCGAUCUCCAACCCUUUGUUUAACUACCAUGUUGCUUUGGCGGGCCCGUCUCACGACCGCCGGAAGUUUGGCUUCGACCAAACUUCUGGCCCGUGCCCGUCAGUGGCCCCUUCAAAUUCUUGAUCAAGUAUGAUGUCUUAGUUAAAAACUUAAUAGUUGAAACUUUCAACAACGGAUCUCUUGGUUCUG